This 1471-nucleotide ribosomal RNA is filed under the name Salmonella enterica subsp. enterica serovar Enteritidis. RNAcentral describes it as "partial 23S ribosomal RNA". It matches the Rfam family "Bacterial large subunit ribosomal RNA", at positions 117 to 1495 of the family's 2925-position model. The record is from RNAcentral. Lineage: Bacteria; Pseudomonadati; Pseudomonadota; Gammaproteobacteria; Enterobacterales; Enterobacteriaceae.
AAUGGGGAAACCCAGUGUGACUCGUCACACUAUCAUUAACUGAAUCCAUAGGUUAAUGAGGCGAACCGGGGGAACUGAAACAUCUAAGUACCCCGAGGAAAAGAAAUCAACCGAGAUUCCCCCAGUAGCGGCGAGCGAACGGGGAGGAGCCCAGAGCCUGAAUCAGCAUGUGUGUUAGUGGAAGCGUCUGGAAAGGCGCGCGAUACAGGGUGACAGCCCCGUACACAAAAGCGCAUGUGCUGUGAGCUCGAUGAGUAGGGCGGGACACGUGGUAUCCUGUCUGAAUAUGGGGGGACCAUCCUCCAAGGCUAAAUACUCCUGACUGACCGAUAGUGAACCAGUACCGUGAGGGAAAGGCGAAAAGAACCCCGGCGAGGGGAGUGAAAAAGAACCUGAAACCGUGUACGUACAAGCAGUGGGAGCCCCACCACCAAAGCAUUUGCUGUACCGCGUUGACGGAGCGAAGCGACGUCAAACCGAUAAAACAGCAGUGUAAAGUGAGCCGCAGGGCGCUUUGCGCGACAGCGCAAAGGCAGGCGGUUUCGCGUAGCGAAAGCGAAUGCUUUGGGGUGGGGUGACUGCGUACCUUUUGUAUAAUGGGUCAGCGACUUAUAUUCUGUAGCAAGGUUAACCGAAUAGGGGAGCCGGAGGGAAACCGAGUCUUAAUUGGGCGUUAAGUUGCAGGGUAUAGACCCGAAACCCGGUGAUCUAGCCAUGGGCAGGUUGAAGGUUGGGUAACACUAACUGGAGGACCGAACCGACUAAUGUUGAAAAAUUAGCGGAUGACCUGUGGCUGGGGGUGAAAGGCCAAUCAAACCGGGAGAUAGCUGGUUCUCCCCGAAAGCUAUUUAGGUAGCGCCUCGUGAAUUCAUCUCCGGGGGUAGAGCACUGUUUCGGCUAGGGGGCCAUCCCGGCUUACCAACCCGAUGCAAACUGCGAAUACCGGAGAAUGUUAUCACGGGAGACACACGGCGGGUGCUAACGUCCGUCGUGAAGAGGGAAACAACCCAGACCGCCAGCUAAGGUCCCAAAGUCAUGGUUAAGUGGGAAACGAUGUGGGAAGGCCCAGACAGCCAGGAUGUUGGCUUAGAAGCAGCCAUCAUUUAAAGAAAGCGUAAUAGCUCACUGGUCGAGUCGGCCUGCGCGGAAGAUGUAACGGGGCUAAACCAUGCACCGAAGCUGCGGCAGCGACACUGUGUGUUGUUGGGUAGGGGAGCGUUCUGUAAGCCUGUGAAGGUGUGUCGUGAGGCAUGCUGGAGGUAUCAGAAGUGCGAAUGCUGACAUAAGUAACGAUAAAGCGGGUGAAAAGCCCGCUCGCCGGAAGACCAAGGGUUCCUGUCCAACGUUAAUCGGGGCAGGGUGAGUCGACCCCUAAGGCGAGGCCGAAAGGCGUAGUCGAUGGGAAACGGGUUAAUAUUCCCGUACUUGGUGUUACUGCGAAGGGGGGACGGAGAAGGCUAUGUUGGCCGGG